UACGUAGGGGGCAAGCGUUGUCCGGAAUCAUUGGGCGUAAAGAGCGUGUAGGCGGCCAGAUAAGUCCGCUGUGAAAUCUCGAGGCUCAACUUCGAGCUGUCGGUGGAAACUGUCUGGCUAGAGUCCGGAAGAGGAGAAUGGAAUUCCCGGUGUAGCGGUGAAAUGCGCAGAUAUCGGGAGGAACACCGGUGGCGAAGGCGGUUCUCUGGGCCUGACCUGACGCUGAGGAGCGAAAGCGUGGGGAGCGAACAGG
Molecule: ribosomal RNA, 253 nt
Filed under: uncultured bacterium
Lineage: Bacteria
Description: partial 16S ribosomal RNA
Rfam family: Bacterial small subunit ribosomal RNA
Source: RNAcentral